AGCAGCCGCGGUAAUUCCAGCUCCAAUAGCGUAUAUUAAAGUUGUUGCAGUUAAAAAGCUCGUAGUUGAAUUUCGGGAUCAAUUUGCUGGUCGUGCCUCUGGUACGUACUGGUAUUAUUGGUUUCUCCCUUCUGACGAACCAUGAUGUCAUUAAUUUGAUGUCGUGGAGAAUCAGGACUGUUACUUUGAAAAAAUUAGAGUGUUUAAAGCAGGCAUUAGCUUGAAUACAUUAGCAUGGAAUAAUGAAAUAGGACGUUUGAUCCUAUUUUGUUGGUUUCUAGGAUUGACGUAAUGAUUAAUAGGGAUAGUUGGGGGCAUUAGUAUUCAAUUGUCAGAGGUGAAAUUCUUGGAUUUUAUUGAAGACUAACUACUGCGAAAGCAUUUGCCAAGGAUGUUUUCAUUAAUCAAGAACGAAAGUUAGGGGAUCGAAGACGAUCAGAUACCGUCGUAGUCUUAACCAUAAACUAUGCCGACUAGGGAUCGGAUGAUGUUUAAUUUUUAAUGA
Molecule: ribosomal RNA, 505 nt
Filed under: uncultured Glomus
Lineage: Eukaryota; Fungi; Glomeromycota; Glomeromycetes; Glomerales; Glomeraceae
Description: SSU rRNA
Rfam family: Eukaryotic small subunit ribosomal RNA
Source: RNAcentral